RNAcentral lists this small RNA (571 nucleotides) under Pongo abelii (Sumatran orangutan). RNAcentral's name for it is "retained intron". Lineage: Eukaryota; Metazoa; Chordata; Mammalia; Primates; Hominidae. The record is from RNAcentral.
GUUUCAGCUUUUUGGCAUAAUGACUUAAAUUUGAAGAUAGUUGAUUUCUUACUUGAAGCUUGCUAGUGUGCGUAUUUCCUUACAUUAUAGAUCUUCUUGGAAACAGAAUUGUUCUACAAAGGUAUCCGCCCUGCAAUUAACGUUGGUCUGUCUGUGUCUCGUGUCGGAUCCGCUGCCCAAACCAGGGCUAUGAAGCAGGUGGCAGGUACUAUGAAGCUGGAAUUGGCUCAGUAUCGUGAGGUUGCUGCUUUUGCCCAGUUCGGUUCUGACCUCGAUGCUGCCACUCAACAACUUUUGAGUCGUGGCGUGCGUCUAACUGAGUUGCUGAAGCAAGGACAGUAUUCUCCCAUGGCUAUUGAAGAACAAGUGGCUGUUAUCUAUGCGGGUGUAAGGGGGUAUCUUGAUAAACUGGAGCCCAGCAAGAUUACAAAGUUUGAGAAUGCUUUCUUGUCUCAUGUCGUCAGCCAGCACCAAGCCUUGUUGGGCACUAUCAGGUAUGAAUGCAGUUGUUGGCAUCUUUUUGUAAAGUUAUGUUUAAGAUAUGAAGUUAAAAUUAUUUUCAAAUCUGUAG